GGAUGGGUGGCAGAGCGGUUGAAUGCACCGGUCUUGAAAACCGGCAGUCGCGUAAGCGGCUCGUGGGUUCAAAUCCCACCCCAUCCG
RNAcentral lists this transfer RNA (87 nucleotides) under Planctomycetota bacterium. Its description in RNAcentral is "Planctomycetes bacterium tRNA-Ser". It matches the Rfam family "tRNA". From Rfam's summary of the family: Transfer RNA (tRNA) molecules are approximately 80 nucleotides in length. Their secondary structure includes four short double-helical elements and three loops (D, anti-codon, and T loops). Lineage: Bacteria; Pseudomonadati; Planctomycetota. The record is from RNAcentral.